RNAcentral lists this long non-coding RNA (271 nucleotides) under Bos taurus (domestic cattle). RNAcentral describes it as "long non-coding RNA NONBTAT015248". Lineage: Eukaryota; Metazoa; Chordata; Mammalia; Artiodactyla; Bovidae. The record is from RNAcentral.
CUUUUCAAGCACCAUUUGUACCAGAAUAGAGAUAUUACAUUAUUUGACAAUCCUAAAAAUUAAAUUAUACAAGAUACCACAUUUUUAAAGCUUAAAUGUUUUAAAUACUACCUCAUAUCUGAUAAGUUCAUAAUUACUGUCUGGCACAAAGUAUAUAUUCAACACUGUAGCCCUCUGUCCAUCGACUUCUAAUUGUACAAAUAAUCUAGAGACUUCUAGUCAAGAUGGAUACACAGGUACAAACACGUUAAAAGGCUAAAAAAAACUAUUA